Molecule: ribosomal RNA, 439 nt
Filed under: uncultured bacterium
Lineage: Bacteria
Description: bacterial SSU rRNA
Rfam family: Bacterial small subunit ribosomal RNA
Source: RNAcentral
GAACGCUGGCGGCGUGCCUAAUACAUACAAGUCGUGCGGAAAGGCCACUUCGGUGGUACUCGAGCGGCGGACGGCAGAGUAACGCGUAGGAACAUACCCCAAACUGAGGCAUAACCGCUCGAAAGAGCAGCUAAUACCGCAUGUGAUCUUCGGAUUAAAGCUUCGGCGGUUUGGGAAUGGCCUGCGUCCGAUUAGCUAGUUGGUGAGGUAAAUGCUCACCAAGGCUUCGAUCGGUAGCUGGUCUGAGAGGAUGAUCAGCCUGACUGGAACUGAGAACGGUCCAGACUCCUACGGGAGGCAGCAGUAGGGAAUUUUCCACAAUGGGCGAAAGCCUGAUGGAGCAACGCCGCGUGCAGGAUGAAUGCCUUCGGGUUGUAAACUGCUUUUAUUAGUGAAGAAUAUGACGGUAACUAAUGAAUAAGGGUCGGCUAACUACGUG